GUGCCUACACCGACUGGGGAGGAAGUUAAUGAUGAUGAUCAUGAAGCUUCAGGUCAAGUUACUGAACUUCGUAGGUCCACAAGGACACGUUCCGCACCAGAGUGGUACGGCAACCCUGUCCUGGAAAUCAUGUUGUUAGACAAUGGUGAACCUUCGAACUAUGAAGAAGCGAUGGCGGGCCCGGAUUCCGACAAAUGGCUAGAAGCCAUGAAAUCCGAGAUAGGAUCCAUGUAUGAAAACGAAGUAUGGACUUUGACUGACUUUCCCGAUGAUCGGCGAGCCAUAGAAAACAAAUGGAUCUUUAAGAAGAAGACGGACGCGGAUGGUAAUGUGACCAUCUACAAAGCUCGACUUGUCGCUAAGGGUUAUCGA
RNAcentral lists this ribosomal RNA (372 nucleotides) under Triticum aestivum (bread wheat). RNAcentral describes it as "partial small subunit ribosomal RNA". The record is from RNAcentral. Lineage: Eukaryota; Viridiplantae; Streptophyta; Magnoliopsida; Poales; Poaceae.